AUAAAAGGUUGAAGGGAGGGCAGGGGUAUGGGGAAAAAAUAAGAACCAAGAUGGAUUUUGUGAAGAUGAGAAUUUCCGAUGAUGAAUGUCAUUAUAUUGUAUACCUUAAAUGUUCCGAUAAAAUUAAUAAAAAAGCAAAAGAAAAGGGAACCUAAAAGAUAUAUUAAAAUUAGUUUUGUGUAUAGAUAUUAACCCCUUUGCAUGUUAAGCCAAAAAACUGUUUUUUAAAAGUGCCAUAUACAGAAACUACUCUUUCAGUUCCAUGAAUAUGUACUACUGUAUUUGAUGUCAUGCACUAUUAUAGGUGCUGAGGACAAUUCAAAGGUGAAAAAGACAACUUAGUUCCUGUCUUCCAAGAGCUCACUGUCUAGCAGUGGAAGAAAUAUGUAUAUAGAAUCCUACUUUGAAGCUUUGUUUCAAUAUACAUUACCACUUCUCUUGGACCUUUUAAGGUCAGAUCUGAGCUUGGUGGUGCAUGUCUGUAAUCCCAGAACUGAGGAGGUUGAGGCAGGAGAAUGA
This 519-nucleotide long non-coding RNA is filed under the name Fukomys damarensis (Damara mole-rat). Its description in RNAcentral is "lncRNA (ENSFDAG00000023394.1)". The record is from RNAcentral. Lineage: Eukaryota; Metazoa; Chordata; Mammalia; Rodentia; Bathyergidae.